RNAcentral lists this long non-coding RNA (362 nucleotides) under Elaeis guineensis (African oil palm). RNAcentral describes it as "long non-coding RNA (EGUI_LNC041588)". Lineage: Eukaryota; Viridiplantae; Streptophyta; Magnoliopsida; Arecales; Arecaceae. The record is from RNAcentral.
CAUUAAACCAUAUGUAUUAAGUUAUGGAAUGAUGAAUAAAAGCUUAAAGUUAUUUUUAAGUUAUGUUGAGUUGACUUGAGAAUUCUGUUUGAUUUGAACUGUAGCAGGAUAUGGUAGAUGAACAGGGCAUAUUAGUAGCUUAUGAACUGCGGCAUAAGGUGCUUGCAAAACUCUAUUCAUCUAUUGUACUCUUGCUCGAUUUAGGGAGUGGGGUGUGACAUAACCCAUGGUGGGUUGGCCCAAAUUGGAUCGAGUGAUUAUGUUCUACCCUGCUUAAAAAAUAGUUUCAUCUUUAAAACUUGAUGUACCUUCAUGUUUAAAUAAGUGAGGAUACUUUGUCUUUAUAUCAUCUUCAAGCUCCC